GGAAGGUAAAAGUCGUAACAAGGUCUCCGUAGGUGAACCUGCGGAGGGAUCAUUACAGAGUUCAUGCCCUACCGGGUAGAUCUCCCACCCUAUGUUAUUAUUACUUUGUUGCUUUGGCGGGCCGUUAGGCUCCGGCCCGACUACCGGCCCCGGUUGGUAAGCGCCCGCCAGAGGACCCAAAACCCUGAAUAUUAGUGUCGUCUGAGUACUAUAUAAUAGUUAAAACUUUCAACAACGGAUCUCUUGGUUCUG
This 252-nucleotide unclassified non-coding RNA is filed under the name plant metagenome. RNAcentral describes it as "partial contains small subunit ribosomal RNA, internal transcribed spacer 1, and 5.8S ribosomal RNA". The stretch from base 1 to 55 matches the Rfam family "Eukaryotic small subunit ribosomal RNA", at positions 1777 to 1831 of the family's 1831-position model. The record is from RNAcentral.